Molecule: ribosomal RNA, 529 nt
Filed under: uncultured bacterium
Lineage: Bacteria
Description: bacterial SSU rRNA
Rfam family: Bacterial small subunit ribosomal RNA
Source: RNAcentral
GAUGAACGCUGGCGGCGUGCCUAAUACAUGCAAGUCGAACGAAAUUAUUUUAAUAGAAGAUUACUUGUAAUUGGAAGUUAAAUUAAUUUAGUGGCGAACGGGUGAGUAAUACAUAAGUAAUCUGCCCUUAAGGACCGGGAUAACUGUUGGAAACGAUGGCUAAUACCGGAUAAGUAAUUGGAAGGCAUCUUCUAAUUAUUAAAAGUUUAAAUACACACAAGGAUGAGCUUAUGGUGCAUUAGCUAGUUGGUGGGGUAACGGCCUACCAAGGCUGUGAUGCAUAGCCGACCUGAGAGGGUGAUCGGCCACACUGGGACUGAGACACGGCCCAGACUCCUACGGGAGGCAGCAGUAGGGAAUUUUCGGCAAAUGGGGGGCAAACCCCUGACCCGAGCAACGCCGCGUGAGUGAUGAAGGUCGCAAGAUUGUAAAACUCUGUUGUAAAGGAAGAACACUAAGGAUAGAAUCCUUAGUUGACGGUACUUUACCAGAAAGCCACGGCUAACUACGUGCCAGCAGCCGCGGUAAU